Glycine soja is the source of this 2403-nucleotide RNA transcript. RefSeq lists it as uncharacterized. Lineage: Eukaryota; Viridiplantae; Streptophyta; Magnoliopsida; Fabales; Fabaceae. The transcript has 15 exons. The record is from RefSeq and is a predicted model, not a curated record.
CCUCCUCUUCCCGCGCUCUCACUAAGCAAAUUUUGGCGAUGAAAAAAUUGCAGAGGUUAGGGAAGUAAGAAGAGUGAAGAACACUCAUCAUUUUCCUUUACAUGAUUCGCACCUGCACUCCGUUUCCAUUGGUGUGAUUGUGAAUGGGGGACUCCAAACGAUGGACGGUGACCUACACAAAACACAUCAAGCAGAAACGCAAGGUGUAUCAGGAUGGAUUCCUAGAGCUCCACGUUUCCACCAGCAAGGUUAAGCUGUAUGAUGAGUGCGAGAAAUUGUUGGAGUGUCGGCUCUUGAAGAACGACGAAAUUGUUACCUCUGGUGAAACGUUGAUUUUCAAUGGUUACCUUGUUGACAUUGGCGAUCCCGAGGGAGGCAACAAGCCUGAAUCUGAUUUGAAUGUUGAUAGGAAACUCAAGAAUUAUUCGAGAUUCAGGACUCCUUCUGAUGGUGCGAAAAAUACCAAAAUGAAUGAGAAGGAGAAUGUUGGACAAGUGCGAAGACCUCUUAGUCCAUCACAAAAAGUUAUCAGAGAAUUUAAGAAGAGAGAACUGCUUAAGUAUGGAUCACCAAAGAUCAGUCAGGAAACACCAAAAACUAGUACUGAAGAAUGGUUUGUUCUAUACACCACACAAGUGACUCAAAAGGCAAAGAAGUACCAUGAUGGUUUUUUACGUCUGGUUCUUCGUGGAUCCAGCGGGGUGCAGGUUAUGCUGUUUGACACAAGCAGGAAACUCUUAGAUAGUAGAUUCCUUAAGAAAGAUGAUGUAAUAAAAUCUGGUGAAUCAAUUGCAUUUGAUUCAUAUUUGAUUGACAUUGGUGAGCAGCAAGGAAGUUGUACACCGGAUUCCAAUGUUCUAGCAGACAAGUGUACUAAUGUUAAGGCAAUGAAGAUGGGCAGACAGAAAACUUCUCUCAAAACUGAUACCCAUGUAAAUGUUGGAAAAGGUGAAUGGCAGGUCCUAUAUACUACACGAUUAACUAAAAACACCAAGAAAUAUCAUGAUGGCUUUUUACACAUUGAACUUUGUGGAUCUUUUGGGAAGCAGGUUGUUUUGUAUGAUUUGAGCAAAAGACCUUUAGAACGCAGGUUCCUAAGGAAAGAUGAAGUUAUAAGGGAAGGUGAAUCAGUAUAUUUUGAUGGACAUUUAGUAGAAGUAGGAGAACAUGAAGGAAGUCAUCACUCUCCAGUGAAGUUAAAUGAACGAGGGACUGGUAAUAAUGUUGUUGAAAGGAGACAACUAGGACAUGGACAAAAUGGCUUCCACAACGUCUGUCCAUCUUUUGCUAAAGGAAAACCGCCAAGUGAGCUUUGUCCGGGGCAAGAUUCAGGAUUGAACUCUCUGAUUACCGAGCUAGAAGAGAUAAAAUCAAACAGGAUAACCCCACCAAUCAAGCCUUUACGCGAUGCCAAUCAAAUAUUGUCCAUUUUACAGAAUCCUAAUCUGAAGCCUCAGAAGAGUUAUGUAACAGGAGACCGAUCGCCCAAUGGGUCUCACCAAAAUAUUGGGGAUAGGGAAUCAGCUGCGACUGCGAAAUCCCUUGAUAUUAAGUCUUCCGGAGCAUGUAGUGGUGGUAGUUUCCAAUUCACCGAGAAUGUCAACAUGUCCCACCAGUCCCACUCUCAGAAGGAUGCCCCGACAAAUACGAGUGAGACAGAUUGUGAUUGUCAACCCAGCCUUACUUUAUUUGGUGAGGAGUUCUCGUGUGAAAGCGAAACAUUUGGAAGCUUUGACCUUGGAUUUUAACAGCAGCUCCGUACAUCAGCUUUCACUUUUGGAGUGAAAUUUGAGAGGGGUGUGAGGAAAAAAAGGGGCAGUAUGCAGGCCAUGCAUCUUUUUUAAUUGCAGGGUUGUCCUUGAAAACUCUGGUCGGGUUAUCAAAACCACUUGGAUUCUUCCAUUAAGAAUUAAGAAAUGUUUGGCAUUCUUUUUGAGGCUGAGAGUCGUAUUUUGAGGCUUGAUUUUGUUUAGUGGCCGAAUGCAAAAAGAACAUUGAUUAAACAAAACAACCCUACAAGAAUAAAAAAGAAAGAACUAAAUUUCAUUCUAAUUUUUAUAAUUUUCAGUGUUUGGUCAUUUUAGCCUCUUAACAAAAUUCUUAUUUAGUCACUAAUUUUACAAAUUGUUAUUCAUUGGUGCAAAAUGAAGUAGCGAAUGAAUAAAAUUUUUCAAAGUUAGCGAUUAAAAGAUCAAUUGAAAUGGGGAUUUAAGAAAAUGAUGGCCAGAAAUUCACGAAUUUAAAAAAUGACCACGUUUUCAGAAGUGUCAUCUAGUAAUAAUACUUGAAACCUCUCGAUUUAUAUUUUAUUUUAUUCACAAGAUAUAUUUCUUAAUGAAUAAUAUUUUAUAUAAUGUUAUUUUGUUAAUGAAUAUUUUACAUUUUGUUUAUAUCAGGAUAUGA